Molecule: ribosomal RNA, 528 nt
Filed under: Triticum aestivum (bread wheat)
Lineage: Eukaryota; Viridiplantae; Streptophyta; Magnoliopsida; Poales; Poaceae
Description: partial small subunit ribosomal RNA
Source: RNAcentral
AUGCUCUCAGAUAAAAUAUUUUCAUCCCUGAACAGCGAGAAGAGAGAUAUGAUUUAUGAUAUUUUUCUUGAUUAUGAGAGCAUGAAGUGCACUGCCAGAGAAUUUGAUUUGUCCGAUUUUGUGAAUAGUCUUCACAGAAGUAUCUCUAAGGGUUACAAUGGCGACAUGGUGGAUUUUGUUUAUGUAGAUGAGGUGCAGGAUCUAACCAUGACACAAAUAGCACUUCUUAAGUAUGUGUGCAGGAAUUCCAGGGAGGGCAUCCAUUUUGCGGGAGAUAUUACGCAGACUAUAGCAAGCGGGGUUGAUUUCAGAUUUGAAGAUAUUCGAUCACUUUUUUGUACCACAUUCCUCUCGAAAACUAAAGCAUUUAAUCAAGGAAAUAAACAUGGUAAACAAUGCCAUCUCUCUGAUAUGUUCCAACUUACUCAAAAUUUCCGCACACAUUGUGGGAUUCUUCGUAUGGCCCAAAGUAUAAUUGACCUUUUGUACUUCUUUUUCCCAUCAAGUGUUGACAAGCUUCAUCCAUAG